UGAAAGACAUGGGUAGUGAGAUGCUGUGUGUUUUAAAUAUUGUCUCACUAUCUUGUCUUUC
RNAcentral lists this microRNA precursor (61 nucleotides) under Cinara cedri. It matches the Rfam family "mir-71 microRNA precursor family", at positions 7 to 65 of the family's 73-position model. The record is from RNAcentral. Lineage: Eukaryota; Metazoa; Arthropoda; Insecta; Hemiptera; Aphididae.